CUUUAACUUGAUGGUGAGAAGCAAUACAUAAUACGGUACAUAUACUGGAUGAUUGUUCAAAUUCGGUAUAAAUUGAAACGACACACCGACCCGAGGCAACAGUUUCAUUCGUAGGAGCGUAAAGUUUAAUAAAAACCGACAAGAAAAUUUAUCCAGUUUUCCAACCAUGCGAUCCGUCAAGAUUACCCUGAUCCUGAUAGUGCUGACAGCUGUUAUGGCCCCAGUGCUGUGUCAAGCCGAAGGAGAGGCAUGCACCCUUUUCGGAUUACCAGCUGCAUUAUUUGAAUGCAAAUCAGAAUGCGACAUGCUGGAGCCAGCCCCUAUUGGUAGGUGUGAUCGUGGGUUGACGUGCUGUUUCAUAGGUUUUUAACAAGGCCGAGUAUCUUGAAAUCGACUGCUUAAUUGACUAAAAAAAUAAAAUGAUACAUUAAAUAAAAAAAUUUUAAAGUAUGAUGAGAUAAUAAAAUCGAGUCAAAAUUUAUGCGUACUCGCAGAAUUGAUAAUACAUAUUUGCGUAAUGUUCGUUCAAAAAGAAAUAAAACUGCGAAAAAUUUUCAAAAUAAAAAAUUUUAUUUAUGGUGCCUUACCAACAAA
Folsomia candida is the source of this 594-nucleotide long non-coding RNA. RefSeq lists it as uncharacterized. The record is from RefSeq and is a predicted model, not a curated record. The transcript has 3 exons. Lineage: Eukaryota; Metazoa; Arthropoda; Collembola; Entomobryomorpha; Isotomidae.